UACGUAGGGUGCAAGCGUUAUCCGGAAUUAUUGGGCGUAAAGAGCUCGUAGGCGGUUUGUCGCGUCUGCUGUGAAAACUGGGGGCUCAACCCCCCAGCCUGCAGUGGGGUACGGGCAGACUAGAGUGCGGUAGGGGGAGAUUGGAAUUCCUGGUGUAGCGGUGGAAUGCGCAGAUAUCAGGAGGGAACACCGAUGGCGAAGGCAGAUCUCUGAGCCGUAACUGACGCUGAGGAGCGAAAGCAUGGGGAGCGAACAGG
Molecule: ribosomal RNA, 257 nt
Filed under: uncultured bacterium
Lineage: Bacteria
Description: partial 16S ribosomal RNA
Rfam family: Bacterial small subunit ribosomal RNA
Source: RNAcentral